UCAACGAGUCUUUAUCCUUGGCCGACAGGCACGGGUAAUCUUUGAAAUUUCAUCGUGAUGGGGAUAGAUCAUUGCAAUUGUUGGUCUUCAACGAGGAAUUCCUAGUAAGCGCGAGUCAUCAGCUCGCGUUGACUACGUCCCUGCCCUUUGUACACACCGCCCGUCGCUCCUACCGAUUGAAUGAUCCGGUGAAGUGUUCGGAUCGCGUCGACGUGAGCGGUUCGCUGCCCGCGACGUCGCGAGAAGUCCACUGAACCUUAUCAUUUAGAGGAAGGAGAAGUCGUAACAAGGUUUCCGUAGGUGAACCUGCGGAAGGAUCAUUGUCGAAUCCCUAAAAAACAAAAAUGACUUGAGAAUAUGUUCAAUAGCAUGCAUCGGGUGUGAGGGUAAAGCCUCUUCGUCCGUUGCUCUUUGUCCGACCAAUCGUUGGUUGUGUUGGGCAGUGAAAAACAAAAAUCGGCACGGGAAGUGCCAAGGGCUUAUGAAAUGGGAUGCUUUAUCGUGGAAGGGGGACCGUUUGCGGUAUACCUUUAUCACGAUUCUCAAAAGGUCUCCGUAAAAGAAACCUUAUACGACUCUCGACAACG
Molecule: ribosomal RNA, 587 nt
Filed under: Stapeliopsis exasperata
Lineage: Eukaryota; Viridiplantae; Streptophyta; Magnoliopsida; Gentianales; Apocynaceae
Description: bacterial SSU rRNA
Rfam family: Eukaryotic small subunit ribosomal RNA (bases 1-323)
Source: RNAcentral